This is an RNA transcript of Cornus florida, 2128 nucleotides long. It is a transcript of the gene named eukaryotic translation initiation factor 3 subunit D-like, with no coding region annotated. Lineage: Eukaryota; Viridiplantae; Streptophyta; Magnoliopsida; Cornales; Cornaceae. The record is from RefSeq and is a predicted model, not a curated record. The transcript is spliced from 3 exons.
UAGCAUAGGAAUCCCAAUCCAGAAUCCCAAACACUCUCUAUCAAAAUCUGUUGUAGCUGAACUAGGGUUUUUUGCGUUCUCUAUCAAAAUCUGAAGUAGCUGAGCUAGGGUUUUUUGUUCAUCUUCUCUCUCUACUCUCCUUCAUCGUCUUUCUCUAGAUUUCUCUGAGCUAGGGUUGUUCACGAUGGUGGGUUUCGAAGUAGGUGCUGUGCCGUUCAACUCAGAGGGCUGGGGUCCACCGGAAACCUCCUCCCCUCUCCUCUCCAACCACCCCGUCAACGUCCCUUUCGCCCCAUUCUCUCGCUCCGACAAGCUCGGCAGAAUCGCCGACUGGACCCGAAACUACAACCCGAACCGCAACCAAAACAACCCCCGGAACGCCGCCGACUCCGUCUUCGACUUCACCGGUGAUGACACCCUCGGCGCCGUCGCCGCCGACGAGGACUCCUCCUUCCGCCUCGUCGACGGCAAGCCUCCGCCGCGCCCCAAGUUCGGCCCCAAAUGGCGGUUCCAGCAGCAGCGCAACCAGCUCCCCCAACGCCGCGACGAGGAGGUCGAGGCCAGGAAGCGCGAGGCUGAGAAGGAGCGCGCUCGCCGCGAUCGCCUCUACCACCUCAACCGCUCCGGCGGCAACGCGCCGCGCCGCGAGGCCGCCGCCUUCAAAUCCUCCGUCGAUAUUCAGCCGGAGUGGAACAUGCUCGACCAGAUACCUUUCUCGACGUUCACCAAGCUCUCCUUCUCCGUCCCCGAACCGGAGGAUCUCCUACUCUGCGGCGGGCUCGAGUUCUACGACCGAUCCUACGAUCGGGUCACGCCGAGGAACGAGCGACGUCUCGAGCGGUUCAAGAAUCGAAAUUUUUUCAAGGUCACCACCACCGACGACCCUGUUAUCCGCCGACUCGCCAACGAGGACAAGGCCACGGUUUUCGCCACCGAUUCAAUUCUCUCGACUCUGAUGUGCGCUCCGAGGUCAGUGUACUCUUGGGAUAUUGUGAUUCAGCGAGUUGGGAACAAAUUGUUCUUUGAUAAACGAGAUGGGUCACAGCUAGAUUUGCUUUCUGUUCAUGAAACAUCCCAAGAACCGUUGCCUGAAGCCAAGGAUGAUAUCAAUUCCGCGCAUUCAUUGAGUGUUGAGGCUGCUUAUAUUAACCAGAAUUUCUCUCAGCAGGUUCUUAUUAGGGAUGGGAAUAAGGUGACCUUCGAAGAGCCGAACCCAUUCGCGAAUGAGGGCGAAGAGGUUGCCCCUGUUGGGUAUAGGUACAGAAGGUGGAAGCUUGAUGAUGAAAUGUAUCUUGUGGCUCGGUGUGAGGUUCAGAGUGUUGUUGAGGUUAACGAAAAGAGGUCGUUUCUUACUUUGAAUGCCCUUAAUGAGUUUGAUCCCAAGUACUCUGGUGUUGAUUGGAGGCAGAAGUUGGAGACUCAGAGAGGUGCGGUUUUGGCGACCGAGUUGAAGAACAAUGCUAACAAAUUGGCUAAGUGGACUGCUCAGUCUCUGUUGGCGAGUGCCGAUAUGAUGAAGUUGGGUUAUGUUUCUAGGGUUCAUCCUCGUGAUCAUUUUAACCAUGUUAUAUUGGCUGUGGUUGGAUAUAAGCCGAGGGACUUUGCGGCACAAAUCAAUUUGAACACUUCGAAUAUGUGGGGUAUUGUGAAGUCUAUUGUGGACUUGUGCAUGAAAUUGAAUGAGGGGAAGUAUGUGCUUGUGAAGGAUCCGUCAAAGCCACAAGUGAGGAUUUAUGAGGUUCCAGCUGAUGCAUUUGAGAAUGAUUAUGUGGAGGAACCACUGCCAGAGGAUGAACAGGUGCAGCCACCUGCAGAGAAUGAGGAUGGUGGGGAAGCAAAUGCAGCUACAAGUGAGGUGGAGGCCAAAGAGAUUAAAGCCGAGGCUUGAAGGAUAAUGACUGCUGUGCUGAGAUUUCAAAUAUAUCAACUUGGUAGCAAUGGGAAGAGGCAGAAUAGAAAGUUCCGAGUUGUAACGGGUCGGGAUGCUCUGCGGUUAGAUUCAAAAACUUAAAAGCUUUGUGGUGCUAACAUCCGGGUCUUUGUUUCUGGAUGCGGCAAUUACAAUGUUGACUUACUAUUUUUUAUUAUAUUCACCCUAAAAAAAAGGGAUUUACAUGGAGUUCAAUAA